Molecule: ribosomal RNA, 261 nt
Filed under: Triticum aestivum (bread wheat)
Lineage: Eukaryota; Viridiplantae; Streptophyta; Magnoliopsida; Poales; Poaceae
Description: partial small subunit ribosomal RNA
Source: RNAcentral
GAUUUUAAUGAGAUUUUAUAUUCCUCGAAGAAAGAGGGGGGCAAUGCGAGACCAAAUGGAAUGAUGAAGGAUUUUCGUGAUUGUCUAGCAGAAUGUGGCUUGGAUGAUAUGGGGUUCAUAGGCGACCCCUUUACAUGGAGGAGAGGUGAGAUUAGGGAACGUCUUGACCGUGCAGUAUGUAAUGUACAAUGGGCGCAUAAAUUUCCUCGGGCGGUUGUGAUUAAUGAAAACCAUGUACAUUCUGACCACCGGCCGUUAGUU